UAAACCCAAGGCCCAAGUCCCUAGGAUUAAAUUUCAAUCCAAGCUCAACCAGAAAUCCCACUGUGCUCUACCCGCGCAGCUGAAUCGGCUCAGUCCCAGAUAGAGUCGACUAACCUAAUACUUAGUUGACUCAGUUUUGCAUUGAGCCGACUAACUUAUGUACCGUACCAAAUUUUUUUAAGAACCCUAUUCUUGAUUUUUCUGCAACU
This 209-nucleotide long non-coding RNA is filed under the name Elaeis guineensis (African oil palm). Its description in RNAcentral is "long non-coding RNA (EGUI_LNC007666)". Lineage: Eukaryota; Viridiplantae; Streptophyta; Magnoliopsida; Arecales; Arecaceae. The record is from RNAcentral.